GGCUCAGAACGAACGUAGCGGCGCGCCUAACACAUGCAAGUCGAGCGAGAAAGGGGAACCCCGGUAAAGCGGCGCACGGGUGAGUAACACGUAGGUAAUCUACUCCCAGGUGGUGGAUAACCUUCCGAAAGGAGGGCUAAUACAGCAUGAGACCACGAUCCCGCGAGGGAUUGAGGUCAAAGCCGGCCUCUUCAAGAAAGCUGGCGCCAGGGAUUGAGCCUGCGGCCCAUCAGCUAGUUGGUAGGGUAACGGCCUACCAAGGCGAAGACGGGUAGCUGGUCUGAGAGGAUGAUCAGCCACACUGGAACUGAGACACGGUCCAGACUCCUACGGGAGGCAGCAGUGGGGAAUCUUGCGCAAUGGGCGAAAGCCUGACGCAGCGACGCCGCGUGAGUGAAUGAAGGCCUUCGGGUUGUAAAGCUCUGUGGAGGGGGACGAAUAAGGGUUGGCUAACAUCCAACUUGAUGACGGUACCUCUUUAGCAAGCACCGGCUAACUCUGUGCCAGCCGCCGC
This 514-nucleotide ribosomal RNA is filed under the name uncultured bacterium. RNAcentral describes it as "bacterial SSU rRNA". It matches the Rfam family "Bacterial small subunit ribosomal RNA", at positions 21 to 518 of the family's 1533-position model. The record is from RNAcentral.